UGGGAUUUUGCCAUCAAAGAAGGAUUCCGUGUGUUUGACAGCCUCCCCACCACACAGCUUCUCACACGACGUUACAGCACCUGGGCCAGGCGAGGGCCUUUCCUCAGCAGGAGCUAUGGUACCUGGUCAUGUCCUGGGGCAGCUCCUGUGCCCAAAGCCCCCUUCAUCACUCCCACCUCCAGCCUCUUGGGAAUGGCCCAGAGUCUUUAUUGCAAGCUGGAAAAGAUGAUGGGCAUCCAGUGGGGUUUUCUGAUUUCCCUCCCUGGAUGGACUCCACGUCCUGUUCUAGAACUGAAGGCACAGAGCACCAGGACCCAAGCAGUGGCUCUGACAAUGACUCUUCAGGCCAUGGAUCAGCAUAGCCAGGUCUCUGGAGCAGAGCAUCUCAGCAGUGCAGCCCCCAGCCCGGUGCUUUGCUCAGGCCUGAGCUCCACGUCUCGCUGAAGGUCCCACAUGGUUCACAGCACUCUGCAAACCAGAGCUGAGCCACCACCUCGGACCUGAGACUAAAGCAGCCUGGGAGCUGCUGAAUUCAGUGGUGUUUGCUGUUAUCCCAUAUCUGUAUCUUCAUUUCCAGGCUCAGGAGGUAGGCAGCAAAAUCCAUCCUUGGAUCAUGAGGCUUGCAGGGCAGGAAUGACCAGGCUAGGGGUGCAAGACUUGGUGUUGGGAAUAAAAAGAAUGGAGUAGGGUGUCUCUCCUCCUCCAGCACACCUCCAUCAACCUGCAGACACUACAAGAGACCUUGGGGAUGGAGGGAACUGAAUCAGGUCCUUGAGGACUCUGGAGCUGGGAGGACCUGGGAGUACUCCAUGGGGCCAUGACUGCAGAGGAUCUCUCUGGGUUCCUUUGGGGACCACAGAGGAUGCAGACUGGACCAGUGAGGGCUUUCAGUGCUCCACAGAGGCCAACAGCUAGGGGAGAACUGUGGGAACAAUUGUGGCAUUUCCUGGGCUAUGUAUAAUCUAUUAUUAAUAUUAAAGUGAUGGGCACAAUAUUAAUGCAAUAUUAAAGUGAUGGAAACA
RNAcentral lists this long non-coding RNA (1022 nucleotides) under Strigops habroptila (Kakapo). RNAcentral describes it as "lncRNA (ENSSHBG00005008872.1)". The record is from RNAcentral. Lineage: Eukaryota; Metazoa; Chordata; Aves; Psittaciformes; Psittacidae.